GUAUAAAAAGAAGGAUAUGAUUAGUGGGUAGGCUACAUACAACCAAUGUUACCAAGUGCCCCCAGGGCUGUUUUCCUGCUCUCGAUUUAGAGGAGCCCAACAGAGAUGCAGUCAGGAGAGAAGUCCUAGACUAAAAGCCAAAGAGCUCUUAACCUAGCUUGCCUAACCAAGUCCUAGUCCCUAGGAGGUAGCCAGCCCUGUCCUUAUCCUUGACUCAACAACAGUCAGCCUCUUCAAGAAGGAUGAGGAUUGGUAGAGGGAUCCGUGAUGUUGAUGCUAUGAGCCCCAUGAGGUCUGAGCUUAGGGAAGACUGAGCCUAGGACCAUGGCCACAAGCAAGUGCCAAAUUCCCCAGCUGAGAAAUGGUGGAGGGGUGGCACACAAUUGAUUGGUGUCUUAGUCUUAUGACUCAAGACUUUUCUGCUUAGGCAUAAUUAAAUCUCCUUACGUCUGAAGAGGAGAAAUGGAAACGUGAAUUCAUAAGGCUGCACCUUUCCCUCUGCGCAUAUUCCUUGGGGAAGAUGAUCCAUUAGAAACAUAGGCAGACAUGCCGAGAGCAAUAAAGGGGCAGGCUCUGUGGGCUAAGCAGGCUGUAGUUAAAGGCUUUCCCUGAGAAUCAUUCAUUAAUUCUAGCCUUGGAAGAGGGCCAAGCUGUGUGGUUUUACCACAGCAAGGGGCAAGAUCCUAAUGAUUAAAUGCUCUUUGUUGCCCUGCAUUUCACUUUUUCUAAAUGCACUUUGAAGAAUGGAAAAUUGAGUUUUCAAUACUUUGUUGUUGGCUGAUGUUAAAUCUAGAGGUAAUUGAAGCCAGUUGAAAGCUGAAGGGAAUGGCCAAGGUAAAGCUUCGAGCACGGAGGCUGAAGGACUCAAGUGUGGUGCCUCCGUGUGUCACACUACUGCCUUCUGUGCCAUUUCUCCCUCUUUAUUAUAUUGGAAACUGUCGCUGAAAUUUGGGUUUGGAGAAUCAGAGUAUUCAUUGGAGACUACAUUUCUUUCUUUCUUUUUUUUUUUUCCGUUUUUGGCUGCCCUGCAGUAUAUGGAAGUUUCUGGGCCAGGGAUCAAAUCUGAGCCAGGGCUAUGACCUAGGCCACAGCUGCAGCAAUGCUGGAUCCUUAACCCACUGUGUUGAGCCGGGAAUGGAACUGGCACCUCCUACAGAGACAAGCCCCAGGUCAUUAAUACACUGCACCACUGUGGGAACUCCCAAGAGUACAUUUCUUGUAAUAUUGUCUUUGGAUCAAUACUUUAGUGUCUACAGAAGACAGGAUCAGAGUAAUAAGAAAUGGUUCUCAAUGGGCAGUCAAGUGUGGUCCGUCUUUCUUGGCUUAAAAAUCUUAAGUGGAAUUCCUGCACUGGCGCAGUGAGUUAAGAAUCCAGCUGAGGUGUGGGUCUGAUUCCCAACCCGGCACAGGGGGUUAAAGGAUCCAGCAUUGGUGUGGUUGCAGAAUAGGUCACAGCUGUGGCUUGUAUUCACUCCCUGGCCUAGGAACUUCCAUAUGCUUUGGGUGCGGCCAUUAAAAAAAAAAACAACGAAAAACCAAAAAAACCAAAAAAACACCUUAAGUAACUCUAUAGCCCUUUUUACUUUUUCUAGAUGGUUGACCAGACCUUAAUAGUAUUACAUUUGCACUCCUAUUUGAUAUCUAUGAGCAGAUCAGAGUCAUCUUGAGGAAAUAAAAUGCUCUGUGUUACAAUGUCCAAGUAAAUUACAAGUUUGGGUGUGUGCAAAAUGUGGAUUAGCUCUGGGCACACGGUAGGCGAUCUAUAAAUGCUAAUUAAUGAAUGCAUAAGUUACAUCACUUUUCUCUAUCAUCCUGUAAAUUCGGGGAAAAAUUCAUUCAAACAAUGAUGUGACUGAAUACGUUGCUAAAAUCUUUUAGUCUGAUGAUCUUGCUAAAGUUCUGACCUUCAAGCUCUUCGGUUGUGUAUGAGAGAGAAUAUACGUGUUUGCAGGUGAGAGAUUAUUGCUCUUUUUUACGAAAGAGCCAAGCACAAUGGGGUUGAGUUCCUACACCGACCUCUGCUGCAAGAAAAAUGUCCUUACUUUCAUCUUCUUUAGGUUUGUGCUGGCACUUACUUUAACUUGAUUUCUGGCUAGGAGAGGAGGGAGAGUCUGGCAAUGGCAGGAAGUUUCAGUUUAGGCUGCUCUACUUUGCUUUUCAUUCAAUAGCUACAUUUUGAAUGUUUCUAACACACCAACCAAUAGGUUGGACGUCCCAACUAGGAACCGAUGUGUAGUAGAUGUAGUUACCAUCACAUAUAGAUAUAUGUUGUUUUAUUCGUUUGCGGCUGUUGCACUGUGUUUUUGUUUGUUUGUUUUGUAAAUUAAAGGUUUGUGGCAACCCUGAAUCAUCAGAUGAUGGUUAAUAUUCUUUAGCGAUAAAUUGUUUUUUAACUAAGGCAUGUACAUUGUGUUUUCUUAGGCACGAUGCUAUCGCACACCCAACAGACUACUGUAGUGGAAACAUGACCUUUUUUUAGCUUUUUAGGGACACACCUAUAGCAUAUGGAAGUUCCCAGGAUAGGGAUCAGAUCAGAGCUGUAGCUUCCAGCUUACACCACAGCCACAGCAACACAGGAUCUGAGCUGCAUCUGUGACCUACACCACAGCUCAAUCCAGGUAACGUUGGGUCCUUAACCCACUGAGCAAGGCCAGGGAUCGAAACUGCACCCUUAUGGAUACUUGUCAGGCUUGUGACCUGAUGAGUCACACGGGAACGCCCCAUAACUUUUAAUAUAUGCACCAGGAAGCCAAAAAAUUCAUGUGACUUGGUUUAUUGCAAUAUUCACUUUAUUGUGGUGGUCUGGGACCAAGCUUGCACUAUCUCUGAGGUGAGCCUAUAUACUUUUUAAACGACUUUAUUGAGAUAUAAUUUAUACACUGUACAAUUCACCUAAUGUUUUAAGUGUAUAAUUCAGUGGUUUUUAGUUCGUUGACAGAGUUAUGCAGCCUUCAUCACAAUAGAAUUUUAUAAUAUUUUCAUUACCCCAAAAAGAAACCCCACACUAGCUUACUCUUCAUCCUCUCCCCAGCAGUUCUUGGCAACCACUCAUCUACUUUCAGUCUUUGUAGACUUGCCUAUUCUAAAUGUUACAUACAAAUGGAACCAUACAUAUACACCCUGCUAUAUAUAAAAUAGAUAACCAACAAGGACCUACUGUAUAGCACAAAGAACAACAUUUGAUAUUUUGCAAUAACCUAUAAGGGAAGAGAAUCUUAAGAAGAACAUAUGUGUAUAUAUACACACGCCUAUAUAUAGUAGAUUCAUAUAUAUAUGUAUAUCUACUAUAUAUAGGUUCCUAGCUGGGAUGUCCAUAUAUAUUAUUUUGGUAUGUUCUUUUAUAUAUAUAAAAUCUCUGAAUCACUAUGCUAUAUAUCUGAAACUAACAUGAGAGUGUAAAUCAACUAUCCUUCCAUUUUUAAAAAAUGGACUCAUACAACAUGUGGUCUUUUGUGUCUGGCUUCUUUCACUUAGCAUAAAGUUUUUUGAGGUCCAUCCAUGUUGUAGAAUACAUCAGUACAUCAUUUCUUUUUAUUGUUGAGUAGUAUUUGAUAGUGUUUAUUUACUCAUCAGUUGAUGAACGUUUGGGUUGUUUUCACAUUUUGGACAUUAUGACUCAAGCUCCUAUAAACAUUUGUGUACAUGUUUUUGUGUGGACAUAUGUUUUCAUUUUGGGAGCAGUACAUACCUAGGAGUAGAAUUGCUGGAUCACAUCGCAAUCCUGUAUUUAACUUUUUGAGGAACUGCGAGAAUGUUUUCCAUAGCGAUUGCACCAUUUUCCGUUUACAUUUACUGUGUCUUUACUUAAAGAAAAAAAAAAAA
Molecule: long non-coding RNA, 3822 nt
Filed under: Sus scrofa (pig)
Lineage: Eukaryota; Metazoa; Chordata; Mammalia; Artiodactyla; Suidae
Description: lncRNA (ENSSSCG00015023887.1)
Source: RNAcentral